Molecule: ribosomal RNA, 484 nt
Filed under: uncultured bacterium
Lineage: Bacteria
Description: partial 16S ribosomal RNA
Rfam family: Bacterial small subunit ribosomal RNA
Source: RNAcentral
AUUGAACGCUGGCGGCAGGCCUAACACAUGCAAGUCGAGCGGAUAAAGGGAGCUCGCUCCUGGAUUCAGCGGCGGACGGGUGAGUAAUGCCUAGGAAUCUGCCUGGUAGUGGGGGAUAACGUCCGGAAACGGGCGCUAAUACCGCAUACGUCCUGAGGGAGAAAGUGGGGGAUCUUCGGACCUCACGCUAUCAGAUGAGCCUAGGUCGGAUUAGCUAGUUGGUGGGGUAAAGGCCUACCAAGGCGACGAUCCGUAACUGGUCUGAGAGGAUGAUCAGUCACACUGGAACUGAGACACGGUCCAGACUCCUACGGGAGGCAGCAGUGGGGAAUAUUGGACAAUGGGCGAAAGCCUGAUCCAGCCAUGCCGCGUGUGUGAAGAAGGUCUUCGGAUUGUAAAGCACUUUAAGUUGGGAGGAAGGGCAGUAAGUUAAUACCUUGCUGUUUUGACGUUACCAACAGAAUAAGCACCGGCUAACUUCGUG